Molecule: non-coding RNA, 82 nt
Filed under: Salisediminibacterium beveridgei
Lineage: Bacteria; Bacillati; Bacillota; Bacilli; Caryophanales; Bacillaceae
Description: Bacillus beveridgei Glycine sequence
Rfam family: Glycine riboswitch aptamer
About the family: This family represents the bacterial glycine riboswitch.
Source: Rfam by way of RNAcentral
GGAGACACUUCUGGAGAGACCGCCCUUUUAUCGGAGGCGCCGAAGGAUUCAUUAUCUCAGGCAGCAGGACAGGAGCAGCUUC